Molecule: non-coding RNA, 24 nt
Filed under: Arabidopsis thaliana (thale cress)
Lineage: Eukaryota; Viridiplantae; Streptophyta; Magnoliopsida; Brassicales; Brassicaceae
Source: RNAcentral
CUCCAUUGAUUUUAGUAAGGCUAC